UUUUGACCCCUUCAUCCUCAGGUAUAUCGAAAUUGACGUCUCCUUCCUUGAUACACCUUUGUUUCCCCAGUUCAUUAUGGAUGUUUUAAGAAACAGCAGCAAAUUUGAUUCCAUCCAGUAAUGGUGUGACAAAUUAACAUCUCCACCAUCCUUUAUGAGACAGUAAAGUUCAUUUUUUAAAAGGAAUUGGUAACAUUUCAAGCCAGAAGACCUGCUCUAACAGUGCCUACCAAAGGCCUCUGAUGCUUGAGAUCAUGACCCUGAGAGCAUACAACCAGGGUCAGUGCCACUCUGGUACACAACCAUGGCAAGGUGGUGACCA
Myotis davidii is the source of this 322-nucleotide long non-coding RNA. RefSeq lists it as uncharacterized. Lineage: Eukaryota; Metazoa; Chordata; Mammalia; Chiroptera; Vespertilionidae. The record is from RefSeq and is a predicted model, not a curated record. The transcript is spliced from 3 exons.